GCCCCCGUAGCUCAGUGGAUAGAGCACAGGUUUCCUAAACCUGGUGUCGGCAGUUCGAUCCUGCCCGGGGGCA
This 73-nucleotide transfer RNA is filed under the name Nakamurella leprariae. It matches the Rfam family "tRNA". From Rfam's summary of the family: Transfer RNA (tRNA) molecules are approximately 80 nucleotides in length. The record is from Rfam by way of RNAcentral. Lineage: Bacteria; Bacillati; Actinomycetota; Actinomycetes; Nakamurellales; Nakamurellaceae.